CCACCAAUAAUGGAGGGAAGAAGAGAGCCAUUAUAAAGAGGGGCUACCUCAUGAAAAUUCUCACUCCUCUGCUGGUUGUGUAAGAAUUAUACCAAUAACACCACUCGCCCCGGUUCUUCUUGAUAAGGGUUCUCUUGAUGGAGAAGAAUAACUGUCCACAGAAUUGUCCGUCGUGUUGCCCGUACUUCCCCCCUUCGUCCGACGACAACAUUUCGUGGUGGGAUACUCCGAGAUGGGUCAUCGUCGGCAUCGUAGUUGUCGCCAUCGUAAUCUGCGGUUUCCUAUUAUACUUUCGUCGCGGUCCUAAGGACACAGAGGGCAAUCUCUCGGUAAAACCAGAAAUUACCUUUGGUAUAGACAGUUUUAACAUUUCGAUUCCGUUGUCGUUAGGGUCCUCCUCCAAAUGAUAAUAAUAAUCUGCGAGCUUCUGGACAUGUUUCUGUGUGAAACUCGAAUUAUGUAUAGUGACAGAUCGUCUAAUCUAGUAUCCAACAUUGGAGAUUUGAUGCAAUAAAUAAUUGUGUUGGAGGAAAAAAAAAUUGUGAUGAAGGGUUUAUUAAAAUUUCAGUAGUCUAUGGUCUGUCAA
Molecule: long non-coding RNA, 586 nt
Organism: Eucalyptus grandis
Lineage: Eukaryota; Viridiplantae; Streptophyta; Magnoliopsida; Myrtales; Myrtaceae
Exons: 2
Source: RefSeq, a predicted model, not a curated record